CGGAGAGUUCCCUUCGGGGACAUUGGUGACAGGUGGUGCAUGGUUGUCGUCAGCUCGUGUCGUGAGAUGUUGGGUUAAGUCCCGCAACGGGCGCAACCCUUGUCUUUAGUUGCCAUCAUUAAGUUGGGCACUCUAGAGAGACUGCCAGGGAUAACCUGGAGGAAGGUGGGGAUGACGUCAAAUCAUCAUGCCCCUUAUGCUUAGGGCUACACACGUG
RNAcentral lists this ribosomal RNA (217 nucleotides) under Clostridioides difficile. Its description in RNAcentral is "partial 16S ribosomal RNA". It matches the Rfam family "Bacterial small subunit ribosomal RNA", at positions 1007 to 1224 of the family's 1533-position model. Lineage: Bacteria; Bacillati; Bacillota; Clostridia; Peptostreptococcales; Peptostreptococcaceae. The record is from RNAcentral.